This is a non-coding RNA of Schistosoma rodhaini, 48 nucleotides long. The record is from Rfam. Lineage: Eukaryota; Metazoa; Platyhelminthes; Trematoda; Strigeidida; Schistosomatidae.
AUCCAGUUGACGAGUCCAAAAUAAGACAAAACGCGCGUCAAACUGGAU